AACGCUAGCUACAGGCUUAACACAUGCAAGUCGAGGGGCAGCGCAGUGUAGCAAUACAUGGGCGGCGACCGGCGCACGGGUGCGUAACGCGUAUCCAACCUUCCCGUUACUCAGGGAUAGCCUUCCGAAAGGGAGAUUAAUGCCUGAUGGUGUUCAAAUUCCGCAUGUUAUUUGAACUAAAGAUUUAUCGGUAACGGAUGGGGAUGCGUGACAUUAGAUAGUAGGCGGGGUAACGGCCCACCUAGUCUACGAUGUCUAGGGGUUCUGAGAGGAAGGUCCCCCACACUGGAACUGAGACACGGUCCAGACUCCUACGGGAGGCAGCAGUGAGGAAUAUUGGUCAAUGGUCGGAAGACUGAACCAGCCAAGUAGCGUGAAGGAUGAAGGUUCUAUGGAUUGUAAACUUCUUUUAUACGGGAAUAAAACCACCUACGUGUAGGUGCUUGUAUGUACCGUAUGAAUAAGCAUCGGCUAACUCCGUGCCAGCAGCCGCGGUAAUACGGAGGAUGCGAGCGUUAUCCGGAUUUAUUGGGUUUAAAGGGAGCGUAGACGGGAUGUUAAUUCAGUUGUGAAAGGCUGCGGCUCAACCGCAGCACUGCAGUUGAUACUGGCGUCCUUGAGUGCGGUUGAGGUGUAUGGAAUUCGUGGUGUAGCGGUGAAAUGCUUAGAUAUCACNAAGAACUCCGAUUG
RNAcentral lists this ribosomal RNA (690 nucleotides) under uncultured bacterium. RNAcentral's name for it is "bacterial SSU rRNA". It matches the Rfam family "Bacterial small subunit ribosomal RNA", at positions 32 to 715 of the family's 1533-position model. The record is from RNAcentral.